GCCCUCGGUGGCUCAGAUGGACAGAGCGUCUGCCAUGUAAGCAUGAGAUCCCGGGUUCGAGUCCCGGUCGGGGCA
Molecule: transfer RNA, 75 nt
Filed under: Schistocerca americana (American grasshopper)
Lineage: Eukaryota; Metazoa; Arthropoda; Insecta; Orthoptera; Acrididae
Also listed under: 1 other name
Description: tRNA-Thr
Rfam family: tRNA
About the family: Transfer RNA (tRNA) molecules are approximately 80 nucleotides in length. Their secondary structure includes four short double-helical elements and three loops (D, anti-codon, and T loops). Further hydrogen bonds mediate the characteristic L-shaped molecular structure. tRNAs have two regions of fundamental functional importance: the anti-codon, which is responsible for specific mRNA codon recognition, and the 3' end, to which the tRNAs corresponding amino acid is attached (by aminoacyl-tRNA synthetases). tRNAs cope with the degeneracy of the genetic code in two manners: having more than one tRNA (with a specific anti-codon) for a particular amino acid; and 'wobble' base-pairing, i.e. permitting non-standard base-pairing at the 3rd anti-codon position.
Source: RNAcentral